AGUGAACGCUGGCGGUAGGCCUAACACAUGCAAGUCGAACGGCAGCACAGUAAGAGCUUGCUCUUACGGGUGGCGAGUGGCGGACGGGUGAGGAAUACAUCGGAAUCUACUUUUUCGUGGGGGAUAACGUAGGGAAAUUUACGCUAAUACCGCAUACGACCUACGGGUGAAAGAAGGGGAUCUUCGGACCUUGCGCGAUUGAAUGGGCCGAUGUCGGAUUAGCUAGUUGGCGGGGUAAAGGCCCACCAAGGCGACGAUCCGUAGCUGGUCUGAGAGGAUGAUCAGCCACACUGGAACUGAGACACGGUCCAGACUCCUACGGGAGGCAGCAGUGGGGAAUAUUGGACAAUGGGCGCAAGCCUGAUCCAGCCAUACCGCGUGGGUGAAGAAGGCCUUCGGGUUGUAAAGCCCUUUUGUUGGGAAAGAAAAGCAGCAGGUUAAUACCCCGCUGUUCUGACGGUACCCAAAGAAUAAGCACCGGCUAACUUCGUG
RNAcentral lists this ribosomal RNA (492 nucleotides) under uncultured bacterium. RNAcentral describes it as "partial 16S ribosomal RNA". It matches the Rfam family "Bacterial small subunit ribosomal RNA", at positions 29 to 507 of the family's 1533-position model. The record is from RNAcentral.